UAGGGAAUCUUCGGCAAUGGACGAAAGCCUGACCGAGCAAUGCCGCGUGAGUGAAGAAGGUCUUCGGAUCGUAAAACUCUGUUGUCAGAGAAGAACAAGGACGUUAGUAACUGGACGUCCCCUGACGGUAUCUAACCAGAAAGCCACGGCUAACUACGUGCCAGCAGCCGCGGUAAUACGUAGGUGGCAAGCGUUGUCCGGAUUUAUUGGGCGUAAAGCGAGCGCAGGCGGUUGCUUAAGUCUGAUGUGAAAGCCCCCGGCUCAACCGGGGAGGGUCAUUGGAAACUGGGAGACUUGAGUGCGGAAGAGGAGAGUGGAAUUCCAUGUGUAGCGGUGAAAUGCGUAGAUAUAUGGAGGAACACCAGUGGCGAAGGCGGCUCUCUGGUCUGUAACUGACGCUGAGGCUCGAAAGCGAGGGGAGCAAACAGG
RNAcentral lists this ribosomal RNA (429 nucleotides) under Gemmatimonadota bacterium. RNAcentral describes it as "Gemmatimonadetes bacterium partial 16S ribosomal RNA". It matches the Rfam family "Bacterial small subunit ribosomal RNA", at positions 355 to 776 of the family's 1533-position model. Lineage: Bacteria; Pseudomonadati; Gemmatimonadota. The record is from RNAcentral.